GUUUUCUCAGAACACAGUAUCAUGUUAAUCGUUUGAAUAUUAUCAAUCUUUUAUUAUUAUCUAUUAUCAAUUUAGUGGCUCCAAGUUCACCGAAGAAUCACCUGGAAGCGUCUUUUAUGUAACACAAAAGUAACGGUCAGACAAGGUAAUAUGGGUUGGUAACUGGCGCAUCUCGUGACUGUGUGGUGUUUAUUCCAACAAGUGUACUAAACAUUCCUGUUUGGUUGCGCCCUUCUGUAAAUGGGACCACGCAAUAGUAUUAAGAAUGACGCCUGAAAAGGUCAAAAAGACGAGGUGUCAAAUGAAAUCUCGGAAUCAUCAGCUACUCAAGAGAAUACUUCCGGGUCAUCCGAGACAUUGAGCGGACACUGAGACACCAAAGCGGUUUACCAGGUUACUGACUAAGCUUCAUAUGAGCUCAAACGUGAUGGGGAGGCCACUUCCUGAGCUCAACACUCAACGGCGCACUGUACGCCGUAGGGGCUCGGAAGAUACAGCAAACCACGCAAAUAACCAAAGCGGAUCCGUCGCUACAGGCAGCAUAAGCACGACUAAUAAGCCUGACAAGGGAAAGGAAGCCCUGAGUUGAUACUUGGGACAGUUCCGGGCUUGAGUCGAAGAAAAGCUCAUAUAUGAAGGAACUUUUUAAUCAAGCACAUAAGAGAUAUGUUUUCGAUUAUGCCAUAAUAUAAAUUGCGUACAAGGAUAAAAAAGCGCUUACUGUUGAGACCAUUUAUUGAAUCUAUCUAACCUUAAUUAUCAACUCCUGAAACACUUAUUUGAAUACAUAUAGUAAAUUAUGCCUAGGCUUUGAAAUGCAUCAGUUCUAUAUUUGUAUAGUGUUAUAAACUGAACCCAACUAAGGGGCGUUAAAAACUUCUAUUUUAAUAAAAAGCUUGAAAAAAAGAACCAACUGUGCGUUGAUUGCUAACGUCGGGGCGAAGGCAUGAGAAUUAUACAAAACCAAAGCUUUUAUUUAUGUUUGUGAUAAUUAUUACUACAAGUAAUGUAAAACGAUUCGCUUCCAUUUUGAUGUGAGCGAUUUCAUCGCAUAACGUGGGAACUGUGAAUAUCACUCUCAGGUCCUAAUCAAAUACUAAAAAUAGUUCUAAAAAAUGGAAACAUGGAACAAGGUAAAGUGUGAGUGGGAAUUUAGUGGGUGUUAGUGCAGUUGAGGAGGCUGGCAAAGAUCCUAUAUUGCCGUGUAAAAGAUAUAGAAAAUAUGAUUGUUAUCGCAAAUAUUGUUUUUAUUUUACUUAUGGAUUUAUGAGGCUACCUCGAUAUUUCACCCUGAAAGCUUAUCUUUUUUUGAUAACAACCGUCGAACCUCCAAUGGAAUCUCUCUGAGGACCACCUAAGUAAAUAUUUUCUUUUUCGUUUUUCAAACAAAUCACAGUGCCGUGUUUUUCAUGUCUUGCAAAUCAUAUACUGUGAAGAAACUAUUGUCGUCGAGUAACCUUAUCACUGUCAGUACAAAAUAUGAUAUUAAGUUAGUAGCAUAAGUUAUAUGCAAGAAUUCGUUUAUACGUAAGACCACACAGAUUUGUAAAUACCUGCCACAGGCAAAUAUGGAGGGCCCACUAAGGUCAAUUUUAAUAUAUACGAAGCACCAAAUUACAACUUCCAAAUAAGUAAAUGCCUCCGCGUCAGUACAUUGUUGUGUCAAUACCUUCCUACUGCUUAAACCUAAAAUAAAAAUUGAAUAGCUUUACAUAUGUUAUGAGUCUUCUGUUCUUUUUCAAGUUUCUAUCAAUACCAUAAUUAUCUCAGGUACGAUUGUUAAAAGCUUGAGAAGAAGCGGGAAAAGAAAUUGAAAAUUUAGUGUGCAAAUUCCGGAGAAAUAUUUUAUAGAAAUGAUGACAACAUAUUGUAUGUGGCGAUGCGUAAUAGUAAUUACUGCACAUUAUGCCAUAAUUACUUUUGUGAAUAUAGCCGCGUAUAUAUAUAUAUAUAUAUACAUAAUGGAGUUCAGAUAAAUGAAUUGUAGUUUCAUAUUCCUUGUGCCAUAUGUCGUGUAUAUCAACCAUAUGCCGUAUGUCCUUUCUCAAAGAACUGUGAUGACUGCGUCAUUAUACGCUGAGAUUAUGGAUUAAUCGUGGCUAAUUCGUUAUUCAACAAUUAUAGAUAGUAAGCGUAGCUUGACUUACUACAGUAUGAUUUGUUAACCUAUUCAUUGUUACAGCUUCUUCUUACGUUCGGUAUAAAAUAGAAUAAUGUGCCACACAAAAUUUUGCUUUAUCGUAGACGAAUCAUGAGCUUCGAUCUAAAACCUAAUGACUAUAUAGGUCAACAGUGAACGUGCUUUUGAUUAGCGUUUCCUCAAGAAAAAAUCGCUAGAAGCCCUAUUAGUCUUCUAAGAGUAGAAAUUUUGAAGAAUGCACUGCUACCACUAUAUAUAUAUAUAUAUAUAUAUAUAUAGUCCCGUGGUGACGGUUGCUCUCAACGUCUCAUUACGCAAAUUUUCAUUCUUCAUAUAGCUCCACCACCCUUACCCCCGAAAAAAAAAACGAAAAUAUCUAUAAUAUCCACA
This 2530-nucleotide long non-coding RNA is filed under the name Varroa destructor (honeybee mite). RNAcentral's name for it is "uncharacterized LOC111253125, transcript variant X1". The record is from RNAcentral. Lineage: Eukaryota; Metazoa; Arthropoda; Arachnida; Mesostigmata; Varroidae.